GCUGAUGAGCCCAAAUUGACGUCGCUUAUUUGAGGCAGCGUGAGAAGGCAUACUGUUGCUGACA
RNAcentral lists this small nucleolar RNA (64 nucleotides) under Euglena gracilis. RNAcentral's name for it is "Eg-m40 box C/D methylation-guide snoRNA". Lineage: Eukaryota; Euglenozoa; Euglenophyceae; Euglenales; Euglenaceae. The record is from RNAcentral.